RNAcentral lists this small RNA (182 nucleotides) under Streptomyces sp. RNAcentral's name for it is "c-di-AMP sequence". It matches the Rfam family "c-di-AMP riboswitch aptamer (ydaO/yuaA leader)". From Rfam's summary of the family: This family represents a conserved RNA structure found upstream of the ydaO and yuaA genes in Bacillus subtilis and related genes in other bacteria. The ydaO/yuaA element is thought to act as a genetic "off" switch for the ydaO and yuaA genes in its native state. It is believed that the element may be triggered during osmotic shock leading to activation of ydaO, a predicted amino acid transporter gene, and members of the yuaA-yubG operon which code for KtrA and KtrB K+ transporters. Lineage: Bacteria; Bacillati; Actinomycetota; Actinomycetes; Kitasatosporales; Streptomycetaceae. The record is from RNAcentral.
CGUAACCCAUCGACGAACUCAUUUCGUACGGCAGGAGCGGGGGACCCAGGUAAGUCAUCGCCGUACCGGUCGGCACACGUCGCACCGGAACGGCUGGGGUGAAGCCGUGCCUCCCCAGGGCACGGCCGGGCACCUCCCCGCCCGAACCCGACAGCUCACCUCGCAGGCGACGGAGAGGAACU